This 460-nucleotide ribosomal RNA is filed under the name uncultured bacterium. Its description in RNAcentral is "partial 16S ribosomal RNA". It matches the Rfam family "Bacterial small subunit ribosomal RNA", at positions 338 to 795 of the family's 1533-position model. The record is from RNAcentral.
CCUACGGGGGACAGCAGUGAGGAAUAUUGGUCAAUGGACGAAAGUCUGAACCAGCCAUGCCGCGUGCAGGAUGACGGCCCUAUGAGUUGUAAACUUCUUUUGUAUUAGAGUAAACACCCCUACGUGUAGCGGCUUGAAAGUAUAAUACGAAUAAGGAUCGGCUAACUCCGUGCCAGCAGCCGCGGUAAUACGGAGGAUCCAAGCGUUAUCCGGAUUUAGUGGGUUUAAAGGGUGCGUAGGCGGUUUGAUAAGGUAGAGGUGAAAUACUGGUGCUCAACACCGGAACUGCCUCUGAUACUGGUGAACUAGAGAGGAGUUGCGGUAGGCGGAAUGUAUGGUGUAGCGGUGAAAUGCUUAGAGAUCAUACAGAACACCGAUUGCGAAGGCAGCUUACCAAACUAUAUCUGACGUUGAGGCACGAAAGCGUGGGUAGCAAACAGGAUUAGAUACCCCGGUAGUC